UGAGGGAUAUUGCACAAUGGGGAAGACCCUGAUGCAGCGACGCCGCGUGAAGGAAGAAGGCCUUCGGGUUGUAAACUUCUGUCGUACGGGACGAUAAUGACGGUACCCAAGGAGGAAGCCACGGCUAACUACGUGCCAGCAGCCGCGGUAAAACGUAGGUGGCAAGCGUUGUCCGGAAUUACUGGGUGUAAAGGGAGCGCAGGCGGAGCGGCAAGUUGGAGGUGAAACCCAUGGGCUCAACCCAUGAACUGCCUUCAAAACCUGUCGGUCUUGAGUGGUGUAGAGGUAAGCGGAAUUCCCGGUGUAGCGGUGGAAUGCGUAGAUAUCGGGAGGAACACCAGUGGCGAAGGCGGCUUACUGGGCACUAACUGACGCUGAGGCUCGAAAGCAUGGGUAGCAAACAGGAUUAGAUACC
This 415-nucleotide ribosomal RNA is filed under the name uncultured bacterium. RNAcentral's name for it is "bacterial SSU rRNA". It matches the Rfam family "Bacterial small subunit ribosomal RNA", at positions 355 to 786 of the family's 1533-position model. The record is from RNAcentral.